Long non-coding RNA from Rattus norvegicus (Norway rat), 377 nucleotides. RefSeq lists it as uncharacterized. Lineage: Eukaryota; Metazoa; Chordata; Mammalia; Rodentia; Muridae. The record is from RefSeq and is a predicted model, not a curated record.
CUCUGGAGUACAGCUCCUCACUCACGGGAAACAUCCACGGAUCAAGGGCAAUCCCACAUCUGCAGACAUUGACAGUGACAGAGAAUGACGGGUUACAGGCUAACCAGGAGAGGCCUUCCCUUCACACCACCUUAAUGUAAAACCAAGACCUGUUUUCCAUUUUCGCAGCUGCCUGGUCUUCAAAAUAGUAAGUUGCGGAUGCAGAUCCGUCUCUACGACACACACAGAUUUAAUUACAGCCCAUUCCCCCUGGAUUGUCUUUCCCAGCGCCACCCUUGAUAUUUUCCUCUCAUCUGUUGACUUCCUUUCCUCUUCCACUGUACUUUCCCCCCACAAAUAAAAGAGGACCCCAAAGGAGGGUACGUGGAAACCAUCAA